RNAcentral lists this small nucleolar RNA (121 nucleotides) under Buteo japonicus. Lineage: Eukaryota; Metazoa; Chordata; Aves; Accipitriformes; Accipitridae. The record is from RNAcentral.
UUGCCCUGUUCAUAACCCCUUGACAGCAUAUUUCUGUGAAUAGGUUCCAUUCCCGUGCUACAUGAAAUCCAAUAAUGGAAGGCUGACAAAUUCCAUGCCCCUUCUGUAUUUGGAGACAAAA